RNAcentral lists this ribosomal RNA (284 nucleotides) under Acidovorax sp. 3T-N15. RNAcentral describes it as "partial 16S ribosomal RNA". It matches the Rfam family "Bacterial small subunit ribosomal RNA", at positions 924 to 1207 of the family's 1533-position model. Lineage: Bacteria; Pseudomonadati; Pseudomonadota; Betaproteobacteria; Burkholderiales; Comamonadaceae. The record is from RNAcentral.
CACAAGCGGUGGAUGAUGUGGUUUAAUUCUGAUGCAACGCGAAAAACCUUACCCACCUUUGACAUGUACGGAAUCCUUUAGAGAUAGAGGAGUGCUCGAAAGAGAACCGUAACACAGGUGCUGCAUGGCUGUCGUCAGCUCGUGUCGUGAGAUGUUGGGUUAAGUCCCGCAACGAGCGCAACCCUUGUCAUUAGUUGCUACAUUCAGUUGGGCACUCUAAUGAGACUGCCGGUGACAAACCGGAGGAAGGUGGGGAUGACGUCCAGUCCUCAUGGCCCUUAUAU